Molecule: non-coding RNA, 751 nt
Organism: Paralichthys olivaceus (Japanese flounder)
Lineage: Eukaryota; Metazoa; Chordata; Actinopteri; Pleuronectiformes; Paralichthyidae
Source: RefSeq, a predicted model, not a curated record
UCUGACUCAAGGAACAGAAUAUAAUAUAACCAUCUGAACAAAGGGUUUGACAAAUCUGUGUGGGAGGGGUAGAAAGAAAAAGGCCAACCACAUUCAAAUGGGCGUGGAGGUUUCACACAGUUUCACCCCCCCCACUUCUCAAUCCUGUCAUUCAGCAACUUAUAUGACACAGGGACAGGUCGGCCUCGGCUUGUCAUUCCCACUACAGAGGCAGGAGCAGUGUUUGGAUGAGCACAUGUGGAAUUCUUGACUAAACGAAAAGAAAAGAAAACCCUCAUGUGGCAGGUGUCACCUUAAACUGGGGACAAGAGGACGAUUCACCUGCCAACUAUAAUAUCAAGGCUUAAAUAUUAUCCUGUAAAACACUGGAUAAACCGAAGAAACGCUUGUGGACUGAGACUGAGGAGCGGAUUCGGUGCAGUGCCGUUUAAACUGGAUCAGAGAUGAACCAAAUACCUCAGACGUCUGUAGCAAUGGAUAUGGAACCACUGAACACCACGCCAGGUUCGGCUGAAGAUAGAGUAGAGGUCUGCAGCAAUGAAGGAGACGCCGUGUCCUGCUGUGAUGACAGAUACCACAGGAAACUGGCCGUCUGCAGCAUCAUCUGUGGGAUCUCCUGCAUCGGGAUCAAAGCACUGAUACAUUCAGUCAAGGCUGAGAAAACAGCGGAUCCAGAGAAAGCAGCAAUGUUUUUAAGACAGGCAAGAAAAUUAAGCAUCUGGUCCAUCGCAGUGUGGCUUUGCUGUUUGGC